Molecule: transfer RNA, 29 nt
Filed under: Chrysochlamys eclipes
Lineage: Eukaryota; Viridiplantae; Streptophyta; Magnoliopsida; Malpighiales; Clusiaceae
Description: partial tRNA-His
Source: RNAcentral
GCGGAUGUAGCCAAGUGGAUCANGGCAAU